GUAGUACUCCCUCUGUUCGGAAUUACUUGUCACAAAAAUGGAUGUAUCUACAACUAAAAUACAUCUAGAUACAUUCAUUUCUUGGACGAGUAAUAACGAACGGAGGGAGUAUGUA
Non-coding RNA from Triticum aestivum (bread wheat), 115 nucleotides. The record is from Rfam. Lineage: Eukaryota; Viridiplantae; Streptophyta; Magnoliopsida; Poales; Poaceae.